This 3980-nucleotide long non-coding RNA is filed under the name Sus scrofa (pig). RNAcentral's name for it is "lncRNA (ENSSSCG00000052584.1)". Lineage: Eukaryota; Metazoa; Chordata; Mammalia; Artiodactyla; Suidae. The record is from RNAcentral.
UAUGUCUAUAGUUUAUUUCUCCUCUAACCUUUUUUUUUUUUAACUUUUGUUUGCUUUAGAUUUAGUUUGCUCUUUUUCUAGGUUUUUUAAGAUAGAAUCUUAGGUUAAUGACAAGAGAACUUUCUUCUCUUUUAAUAUACACAUUUACAUUUAAUACACCUCUCUCUAAACACCACUUUUUCUGUAUUCCAUAAAUUUGGGGAUAUGUUUUCAUCCUUCGUGAAUGAAGUCAUCCUAAAGUACUUUCUAAUUCUCUUUAUCAUUUCUUCUUUGACAUAUUGGUUAUUAUUUAGGAGAGUAUUAAUAGCUGCAUAUUUGUGAAUGUCUCAAAUUUAUAAAUGAUUCCUAAUUAAUUUCAGUGCACUCAGAGAACAUACUUUGUUUGAAAUCAGUCCUUUUACAUUGAUUGAGUCUUACUUAAUGGUCUAACAUAUGGUCUUUUCUGAAGAAUAUUCCUUGUAUACUUGAGAAGAAUGUGUGUUUUGAUGGAAUGUAAUAUUCUUUGGAUGUUUGUUCUAGUUGGUUCACAGUGUUGUUCAGUCUGCUGUUUCCAUGUUAAUCUUAUGCCUAGUUGUUUUUCCAUUAUCAAAGGUGGAGCAUUAAGCUCUCCAACUAUUGUUAUUGAAUAGUCUCUUUCUCCCUUCAAACCUGUCAGUUUUUGCUUCAUGUAUUUUGGGGCUUUGUUGUUAGGUACAUGUACAAUUUAUAAUUGUUAUAUCUUCCUGAUGGACUGAACUUUUAUUGUUAUAGUGUCUUUUUUCUUUUAACAGUUUUGGUCUUAAAGUCAGUUUAGUCUGAUAUCAAGAUAGCCAUUCCAGUUCUUGGUUACUGUUUGCAUGGCAUAGCUUAUUCCAUCUUUUACUUUUUACUUUUUCUGUAGUCUGCCUCGUGUGAACACCUAUAGUAGGACUAGAUAGAUAGAUAGACAGAUUGAUUGAUUGAUUUUGUUUUUACGGCCACACUCACAGUGUAUGAAAGUUCCCAGGCUAGGGGUUGAAUUGGAGCUGUAGCUGCUGGCCAACACCCCAGCAAUAGCAAAGCCAAAUCUGCCAAAUUUGAGCCAUGUCUGUGACAUACACUGCCGCUCAUGGCAACACUGGAUUCUUAACCCACUGAGUGAGGUCAGGGAUCAAACUUGCAUCCCCAUGGGUACUGGUUGGGUUCAUUACCACUGAGCCACAGUGGGAACUCCCAGAUCAUAUGUUUUUAAUCCAUCUUGCCAAUUUCUGCCUCUUGAUUGGAUUGUUUAACUUAUUUCUAUUUAAUAUAGUUACUGACUAGGAGGACCUAUCUCUUUUAUUUUACUUUUGAUUUUCUGUAUGUCAUCAUUUUUGCCCCCUUCUAAUCUAUUACUGCCUUCUUUUUGUUAAAUAGGUAUUUUCCAGUGUAACAUUUUAAUUCCCUUGUAUUUUUCUUCUCUAGAUUUUUUUGAGUUAUUUUCUUAGUGGUUGCCCUGAGGAAGGUUACAAUUAAUUUUUACAUUAAAAAAUUGUAGUUUCCAUUAAUACACACUUAAUUUGCAAAGCACACAAAGACUUUUCACCAGUAUAGAUUCCUUUACCUCUCCUUGUGCUAUUAUUGUUGUAUAUAGUACAUCUUUACACAUUUGUAUACAAGUCUAUCAACAUAAUUUUGAUUGCUUUAGAUGGUUGUAAUUUAAGUCAGAUAAGAAAAGAGUCACAAAAAUAUAUAUAUUUAUGUUGUUUUUUAUACUUACCUGUGUAUAUAUUUUUGCCUUUUCCUGGCUUUAGUUGGAAUGCUCAAAUGUUUUGUCAUGAUAUGGCUGUUUGGUGCAUACUUCAGAUAGAUGCUCACAGGUAAAGGAAAUUCCUUUGUAGUUUUAGUUGGUAAGAAUAUUUAGGAUUAACUGGGUGUUAAAUCUAUAUCUAAUGUUUCACGUUUUUCAUCUUUUGAGAUAAUCAUAUAAAUUUUAUCCUUUAACUUGUUAAUAUAGUAAAUUGUUCUGAUAGAUUUUGUAUAUAUUAAAUCAUUCUAGCAACCCUAGUCUAAAUACAACUUGGAAAUGCUGGAUUCUUUUAAACUAUGAAUUCCUUUUUUAAAUCUUUUAUCUAGAAUAUUUGCUUUUCUCUGUAGGUGACAUUGGUGUUUAAUUUUGAAUUUUAAACUGCUUAUUUCUAGUUUGAUAUAAAGUUUUUGAGGCUAGUGGUUUCAUGAUUUGGGUUGGGGAGAUUCUCUUUUUAUAAGACUGAACAAUUGGGCAUACUUUCUCUUAAAUGUCUGGUCUCAUGUCUUUCUCUUGAAAUAUAUUUUGACUAAAUUUUUAUUUUCUUGAUUAUCAUUCUGUUCAUUUUUCUAAUUAUUCUCAGGUCAAUUUUAAUUUAUAUGUUAUUAAAAUUGUGCAUUUAAGCUAUGUUUUAGCUAUGUUUUAAAUCUAUUGAUUUAAUGUUUUUUUCCUGCUAUCAUCUUAUAGUUUCAACAAUUUUAUUUGUAUCCCGAGUUAUGUGUUUAUUUCAUUUGUAGUUUUAUUUAGGUAGUCCUUUUCUCAUUUGCCCGCCCCUGCUUUAUUUUUCUUUUAUACAGCCACACCUGUGGCAUAUGGAGGUUCCUGGGAUGGGGUGGAAUUGAAGCCACAGCUGAGGCCUACAUUGGAUGCGAGCUGCAUCUGUGACCUACGCCACAGCUUGCAGCAACAUAGGCCAGGGCAGGGCCUAGCCUGCAUCCUCACAGAGACAAUGUCAGGUCCUUAACCCACUGAGCCAUGAUAGGAACUCCUCUCAUCUGCUCUUGAUUGUAUGUACCAAAAUUUUAUAUUUUAAUAUUUUCAAGACCUUCUUUUUUUUAUUAUUUGUUAUUGAAGUAUGGUUGAUUUACAAUAUUAUAUUGGUAUCAGGUACACAACAUGAUAUAUGAAUCACUGAAUUGAUUUAUCUUCAGUGUUCAUAUAUUGUCCCCUUAUUUCACUCCUAUUUGUCUUUUUGUUCUGCUAAGACAUUUCAUCAAAUUUCUCUUGCCACUCUCAUUUAAUUAUUCAUUCCAGCUAAUGUAUUUUUUGGCCAUGCCUACAGCAUGCAGAAGUUUCCAGGCCAGGGAUCAAACCCAAGCCACAGCAGUGACAAUGCUCAAUCCUUAACCACUAGGCCACAGCAGGAACUCCACAGCUAAUGUAUUUUUAGUUUGUAAAAACUCUGCUUCUUAGAGCAUGUAUUUUAUCGAAUGCAGCUUUUAUUUCUCUGAUAAACUAUUUUGUUUCCUUCUGAAAUGUUAGUCUCUUUUGAAAGAUUUUAAUCUACUCCCCGCACUGUAUCUCAUUCUUCCACAGUCUUUUGUUAUCUGUUUAUUAGCUGAUGUCUUUUUUCUUGUGAUAGUGGUUUUCUACAAACUCUUGGUGAUCUUUGUCAGUCCAUUAUAACUGUGAUUGACACAUUAACAAGCUGUUUAGAAACUCUGUGCACAUGUAUGUAGUGGGGUAGGGUGAGAUAGGUUGAAGGGUGGGCUUUAUUUCCUAGGGUGAUAAAGCUGGGUAAUGUAAGAAAGUGGGCUUUAUUAGUAUAAGCUUACUUUUUCAACAUAUCUCACUGAACAGUCCAUAUCUAAGUCUUUUUUCUUGACUUCUUCAAUUCCCCAGGGGACCAUCCUUCUGUUUCCUGAUGGGGCACUGUAAGCCUUGUUGUCAGGAGCCUACGAGGUUUGCUGAUGUUCUUUUACCUCUUCCUCACCAUUAAAAAAAUUAUUACAGGAGUUCCCGUCGUGGCGCAGUGGUUAACGAAUCCGACUAGGAACCAUGAGGUUGCGGGUUCGGUCCCUGCCCUUGCUCAGUGGGUUAACGAUCCGGCGUUGCCGUGAGCUGUGGUGUAGGUUGCAGACGCGGCUCGGAUCCCGCGUUGCUGUGGCUCUGGUGUAGGCCGGUGGCUACAGCUCCGAUUCAACCCCUAGCCUGGGAACCUCCAUAUGCCGCAGGAGCGGCCCAAGAAAUAGCAACAAUAACAACAACAACAACCAAAAAGACAAAAGACAAAAAA